GAAAUGCGAUAAGUAAUGUGAAUUGCAGAAUUCCGUGAAUCAUCGAAUCUUUGAACGCACAUUGCGCCCUCUGGCAUUCCGGGGGGCAUGCCUGUCCGAGCGUCAUUACGCACCCUCAAGCCCGGCUUGUGUGAUGGGCCCCGGCGUCUCGUUCGCGAGACGGGCCCGAAAGGCAGCGGCGGCGUCGAACCGAUGAGCCCGAGCGUAUGGGGACUUCUGUCACACGUUCGCGGUGCGGACCGGCGCCUGCUUUGACUUUUCUGAUUAUCCAGGUUGACCUCGGAUCAGGUAGGGAUACCCGCUGAACUUAAGC
RNAcentral lists this unclassified non-coding RNA (313 nucleotides) under plant metagenome. Its description in RNAcentral is "partial contains 5.8S ribosomal RNA, internal transcribed spacer 2, and large subunit ribosomal RNA". The stretch from base 1 to 105 matches the Rfam family "5.8S ribosomal RNA", at positions 50 to 154 of the family's 154-position model. The record is from RNAcentral.